UCUCGUCAUAAUUAUAUAUAUAAUUAAUUUAAUAUAUGCAUAUCUUUUUACAAAACAAAAUUGUUGAAAGCAAUGGAAUCUCAAACUUGUGUGAUUUGUGGAGGACAUUCAGUUCAUAAGUGCAGUGCCUGUGAAAAUGUUUAUUACUGUAGCAAGAAACAUCAAAAAGAAGAUUGGAAGAAACAUUCAAAAGUUUGUAAAUCCUUUAAGUUAGCAGAAAAUCCUUCAUUGGGUCGUCAUUACGUAGCUACGAGAAAUAUCAAAGUUGGAGAAAUUAUUCUACGGGAUGAUCAACCCCUGAUAACAGGUCUUAUGUACAACAGUGUCCCCGUGUGCCUUCAAUGUUAUACGAUGUUAAAUCAAGAGAUUGCAAUACCUUGCGAAAAAUGUGGCUGGCCUCUUUGUCAAAACUGUAACGAACAUGGAUUGGAAUGCAAAUUUUCAUGUUCUCGCAGAGAUUCUAAGAUAUCAAUAACCGAAUUUGGCUAUCCCCAUCCGAGUUAUCAAUGUAUAAAUAUUAUAAGAGCUUUGUCAUUGAAGGAUACUAAUCCAGAAUCUUAUAAAAAGUUAAUAUCCCUCGAAAGCCACUGCAAUGAAAUAAAUAAUUCUAAAGAGCCAUUAAAUAUUGCUCAUUUUAUCAAGAGGUUCUUCAAGGCAGAUGACAUAUCGGAAGAAGAAAUUGUAACAAUCAUUGGCAUCUUGCAGGUUAAUGGUCACGAAGUUCCAUUAACCGACUCACCAUACGUAGCGGUUUAUGAAAUGGCAUCAUUAAUUGAGCAUAAUUGUAGAGCCAAUUGCUCAAAAAGUUUCACCGAUAUGGGAGGAUUGAUUAUUCGUGCUGCACUACCUAUUACGAAAGGAGAUCACAUUUCUAUAUGUUAUACUGAUCCAUUAUGGGGUACUGCAAAUAGAAGACAUCACCUUCUUAAAACAAAAUUUUUUGAAUGUAUUUGUAAUCGAUGUCAAGAUCCUACAGAAUUUCAAACUAUGUUCAAUGCUUUAAAAUGCAAUAAAAUAAAUUGUUCAGGAUACGUAUUGCCAAAAACUUUCCUUGAACAAGAACAAGAUUACGUAUGCAAAACUUGUGAAUCGAUCGUUUCUUGUACAGAGAUUGAAAAAAUGUUGGAAGACAUUGGUAUACGCCUAUCAAAUAUGAAGAAAAACGAUAUUGUUGCAUGUAAAGAAUUUCUAGACCGAUAUAAAAAUAAUCUUCAUCCAAAUCAUUAUUAUAACAUCGAUGUGACGAUCGCCUUGACUCAAUUGAUUGGACAACAAACUGGAGGAUUGGCGGUAAUCGAGGAAGAUCUUCUGAUUGAGAAAAUAAAAUUAUGCAAAAAAUUGGAUACUUUGCUUAAAUUGCUCGUUCCAGGUCACUAGUACAUUGUGACGAAGUAACAAGAAAACUAUUUGUGUACUCUCUGUGAUUCCAUUUUUACAAGGAAACUGAUAUCGGUGAUUGAUACACGCCGAUUUUCAUGAAAUUUUGUAUAAUUGUUUGGACCAGCCUAGAUAGAUUUUCCCCAUAUUUGCUGAAAACCGAAUUCGAGGUUUAAUUCUUUUUGAGUUACAUGCAUCUCUUGCAGAAUUAAGUAGAAGAUAUAAAAAUGAGGA
Molecule: unclassified non-coding RNA, 1611 nt
Filed under: Apis florea (little honeybee)
Lineage: Eukaryota; Metazoa; Arthropoda; Insecta; Hymenoptera; Apidae
Description: sET domain-containing protein SmydA-8-like, transcript variant X2
Source: RNAcentral